Molecule: unclassified non-coding RNA, 209 nt
Filed under: Mycobacterium kansasii
Lineage: Bacteria; Bacillati; Actinomycetota; Actinomycetes; Mycobacteriales; Mycobacteriaceae
Description: partial 16S-23S ribosomal RNA intergenic spacer
Source: RNAcentral
AAGGAGCACCACGAAAAGCAUCCCAACAAGUGGGGUGCAAGCCGUGAGGGGUUCUCGUCUGUAGUGGACGAAAGCCGGGUGCACGACAACAAGCAAAGCCAGACACACUAUUGGGUCCUGAGGCAACACUCGGGCUCUGUUCGAGAGUUGUCCCACCAUCUUGGUGGUGGGGUGUGGUGUUUGAGAAUUGGAUAGUGGUUGCGAGCAUC